This 2000-nucleotide long non-coding RNA is filed under the name Malus domestica (apple). RNAcentral describes it as "long non-coding RNA (MDOM_LNC005750)". Lineage: Eukaryota; Viridiplantae; Streptophyta; Magnoliopsida; Rosales; Rosaceae. The record is from RNAcentral.
UGCUUAGUUUGUAUAGGGGUUCAAGAAUAGCCUCACGAUGAUACGAUGUCGGCUAUCCUCGUUGCCUACACUCACCUCAUCAUAUGUAUAUGGAUUCCUCCUGGAUGUAAGCACAUGCUUUGUACUUCCCCAUGAUAGGGUGAAGCCGGUGCAUGAGUCACAAACGCUUGGAACCCACCAUGGUGGAAGGCCUACAAAGAGAUGUUCAAAACAUCUCUCGCUUAUCAACUUAAUAUUUGAUUUGAGGGAGUAGUUUUGGGCUACAUCAAAACAUUUUAAUCAUAUUAAAAGAACUUGGGCCUAUCACAACUAUUGGUCCAAGUCAAUAUGAUUUAGUAGCAUAUAAUACUCCCACUGUUUCGUUGAAACAAGCGAGACUAUAUGGAACUACUAACGAAUGCAUUGCAUCCUCAUAUGGACUAUAUAGUCAUAUUAGGUUUUAGGAUGAUUAUGAACCGUUUGAUUUGAUCCAACACGAGCCUUGUGUUGGACCUUGGGUUUAAGGUAGAUAGUCGUUGAUUUUAGUUACGCGUUUAAUCCAAUUAAACCGUUAUUUCCUAUUGGGCGUUGGACCCAACUAUUCCAUUUGCAUACAUAUAAACAAAAGGAAUACAUGAAAUAAUAAUAAGGGCUUAUGCCCUUUUUACAACCCAAAUCAAAUGAUGGACUUAUGUCCAUUUACAACAAAUUGAAUUAAUCAAAUUACAUUCAAAUCUAUACUACUAAAAACCCAAACAUUCAUAAUGUAUAUCGGCCAAUCACAUAGCUCAAUUAUCGUGGCCUUUGGUUCAUAAUCACCCUUUUCUUAAUCAAUCAUAUUAACUAAGAAAACAACUUUAAACAAUUGGUUUUUGGAUCCAUAGAAUUGAUUUAAAUGGAACUAAAUGAAAUGAAAAUCCAAUUCUCAUUAAAGAGACAAAACAAUUUUGUUCUCAUUUUAUUUGGGCCAAAAGGAAACUAUGACCACAACAAUUGGGCCAUAAUGCAAAUACAAAAACUUUUGGGGUCACUUUGUAAAAACACAAUAGUCCACAACUUCAUGUAAUUACAACUAGAUCCCAAAAUUUCAUUAAUGUAAAAACAUCAUUAAAGGAUCAAAACAAUUUGUCCUUUAGCGUUUUAGGGCCUUAACGUAAAAACGUAAACUUUUGGGCCAAAAUGCAAAAACACAAAAUUAUCAAAACUUUAUGUAAUUGCACAAAAGACCCCAAAAGUACCCCACUUGAGGGGUGGCCGGCCAAGGGAGUGUGUGAACAAGUGUGAAAGGGUUUUAGUGCAUGCAUGUGCAAUAUGCAAGUUGAUUUUGGUGGGUGAGGUGAAAUUGAUGGUUUGUAAGAAAAUGUUUUGUAAAAACAUUAAUGAGUUUAGACAAACAUUAAAGCCAAUUUUAAUGCGUCACCAAUAUCCAUCACCCAUCAAAAUUAAACCAAAACUUUAUGAAAAACAUAAAACUUUUGAAUCAAAACUUCAAACCUUUUUGUUCUUGGCAAGAACUUCAAGAACAUUUGAAGAACACCAUGAAAACUCAUAAUAGCCCCAUGGAUGUUUUCAUUCACCAAAACACAAUUUUUCACCUCUCAAAAGAGGGCUAAUAUCCUAGGGUACUUAGGGGUUCCAAAAGUCACCUUAAAACCAUUUUAACAAGACAAACAUGAACCCAAAAAAGUCACCCUAAGGAUUUUGGCCGAAUUUCCCAAAACUCAUGGCACCAAAUUUUAGUUCCAAUAUUCAUGCUUAUAUGAGAUACAUCUACAACAUUUGAGAUGCUAAAUUUUCUAGCAAAAUUUAUAUAUUCAAAGGCAAGAACAAAGCUUGUAACAUUUACAACAUUUAAAUCACAAAAUAUGAACAUCACAAAACCCAAAAGGAUUCACCAUACACUAGGCCUAGGCUCUGAUACCACUUGAAGGAAAAAUUUUGUCCUAACUAAGAACAAGUAUGAACAUUUGAAUACACAUGCAAGCUAUCAACACUUUAAAGUAGGCAUGCAUCCAAAAACA